Non-coding RNA from Hydra vulgaris (swiftwater hydra), 285 nucleotides. Lineage: Eukaryota; Metazoa; Cnidaria; Hydrozoa; Anthoathecata; Hydridae. The record is from RefSeq and is a predicted model, not a curated record.
UGAACGACUAAUAACGGCUGGUGAGAUUACACGUGAAUUUUGGAGAGACGAGGAAGUAAAGCUCCAAGAAUCGUCUUUUUUGUUAGACCUUUACAGCGACAUUGAAUGGGAAGGCAUUCGAUGGAUCCUUAAGAAUAUGCACAACAAGUAUAAACAAAAUAAAAACUCAAACUUCAGCAACUUCGUAGCAGAAGCUAGAAGUAUAAUGAGAGCACUAAGAAGUACUCAAGGAAAAUAACUGUGUUUUGUUAAUUUACUUAUAUUUGAAUAAACCUCUUUUGUUUA